AAAAAAGUCAGAUUGCUGUGUUUAGACACAAGCUGAAAUUCUGCAGAUAAGACAGAACCUAUAAAAAGGGAGAGAUUAAUUAAUUACUCAGAGGAGGUGGAUGAAUGACAGAGCAAACUCCUUGUGAGGCUAAGCGAGAACAGAGUGCAGAGCCCUUUGAAAGCAGGUGGGAUCGGACAGGUCGAAGUCUCCAUCACUCCUGGAGCAGGACGGAGGCCAGAAAGCGUUUGUGCAGGAAAUUGGCCUUAAAGCUGGACUUGAAAGACUCCAAAAUGGCAAAGCAAGACUUUAGAGGCAGGCUGGAUCCCUGAGUCACCACCAGGAGCACAGCCGCCAGGAAAACCACUCAAUCUCCUCCAGGCUUAGAUCAUUUGACUUCCUGACCUUCCUCAGCAGAAAAGACUAUAGACUGAUUAUACGCUAAGAGUAGAAGUAUUUCCUUUUAUUUGUUUUAAAUUUUCCCACUGUUAAUUUCAUUGAGUGCAUACUUGUUCUCAUAUUAUGAAAUGAGGUAAAGAAGGAAUAAAAGAGAAGAAUCAUUUUUACUACUCCUAUGAAAUGCGAAAAUUGUUCUUCUUGUCUCCCAAUGCUUCCAAGGCUGUUCACUUUGUUAUCGCACCAUCCAGAGGUCCUACUCUGCAUUUACAUCAACCUGUAGGUGCAUGGUUCACCUUAUAACCCAAGAUCCUUUCCCAGUUGCUGCCCUGUACUCUGUGCAAACAUCCCCUCACUAUUGUCCAAAGCAACUUCUUUGUUCUAGCUAACCCAAAACGGCAAAAAUGUUUCACUUCAAGGGCUGGUUUCCAUCUGUGGCAGUGGCCACCUAAGUAUUGUCUUAGGGAAGAUUAUGUGGCCGUGUAAGGACUCAGUAGGAAAAGUGUUGUGAGAGAUUAGCAAUCUAUUGGGGUUAGGGGUUGUAUGUACAGCAGAACCUCAACAAAACACUGUCAGACAAACACCACUACAUCUGCUAUGCCAACUCCUGCCUCAAUAGCACUAUGUGAGCUUCCCAUGUUCACAUAACCAGAAUUCCAUCCAGAUUCCAUUAUCCAGAAUUCCCUCCAAAUUCCAUUUCACCAAUCCACAUCUGAUACUUUCUAAGCUUCUAGAAAGAUCUUUCUAACACUCUGUGCUGAUCACUGGCUGGCAAAAUUCAUUCUGGAAUUUACUCUAAAGUUGAAAAUCAUAAUCACUGGCUAACAAGAAUCAUUUUAUAAUUUACUCUAAAACUGAAAGAAUUGCCCCAGAUGGAUGGCAGCUUUGGCUGACAACACCUAAAUCUUACCUAGCCAGAAUUUGGAAAGGCUCUAGAGAUUCAGGGUGAAAAGCCUUUUGAACCAUUGAUUCAUGCUCUCCUUGUAAAGAAGGAUGAUUGCCCUUCUACUUUAUAUGUUAAGAGAAUUAGACUUGGUGAUCUUUAAAACGCACCAGAAGCUGGACUUCUUUGCAAAGAACCACGGUGCUUUACCUCAGACCUCGUCUUCUGCUAUUUCCCCUCUCGGUCACUCUGUUCAGACCCUUCACCCCAUUUGGGGCCUCUGCCAAGGCAGAUCUCUCUACUCUUCUCCCAGAUAUCCAUGAGCCUCAUUUUCACUUUUUUCCACUUUGCUCACAUGUUUCCUUCUCAGUGAGGCCCACCUUGCUCAGCCCAACCACACAUGGACUCUGUUGCCUCUUAUGAUGCUCAACAUGUUAAAAUUUUGUUCAUAGCUCUUGUCACUUUCCAACCUAGUCCAUAAUUUGCUUAUUUUUUAUGGGUAUUACUUAGUAUCUCUGUCCUCUAGAAGGUGAGCUUUAUGAGAGCAGAGAUCUCAGAGAUCUCUUAUCUAGUUUUUACUAACAAGAAGAGUAACUAACUACUAACUCUUCUGCCAACUAACUAGAAAAGUAUCAGAAACACAGUAGACACUCAGUAAAUAUGUGUUACAUUGAACAAACUUAACUCAUCCAUUUCUGUCCAUUAUUAACUCUAGAGUUUUUCCGGUUCACUCACAGUCAGACUGAAUGUUUGUAUUCUUCUCAUUUGUAGUUAAAUCCACUUUACACAUGGACUGUGUAUAUAUUUGAAAUAUAUAAGGAAAUUUCUCUAAAAAUGCUUCCAAGAAGGACUGGGUAUCAUAUUGGUACAAUAUGUCUUUCGGGUGUCAGAUAUGAACUUAUAUUUUCUCAAAUACUCCAUUUUCCCUUGUUUUCCACAAAAGUUGAUGCUCUUGAUCUACUGAAAUCCUAACACCACAAAUGAAGAUAUACAAUAUCUCGUUGCAAAAAGUGAAUGAGAAGGAGAGGGGCAAGCAGGAGCAGGAAAGAAAUAGAGGAUAGCAUUUCCGCAAUUCUCCUUCCACAGAGAGCAGUGAAUUGAACAUGAGGCAAGAAGGUCAUGGAGUUAGGAGUAUGAAUUUCAUCAGAUUGCCUGAAUUGCAACAAGAUUUCAACAAAAAUUAGAAGGCAAAAGGAGAAAAAGAAAAUUUUACAUUUAUAUCAUACCUUUUCAUAUCCAAGUAAUUAAAACUCCUGCUAUUAGAU
Molecule: long non-coding RNA, 2523 nt
Organism: Equus caballus (horse)
Lineage: Eukaryota; Metazoa; Chordata; Mammalia; Perissodactyla; Equidae
Source: RefSeq, a predicted model, not a curated record